GCAGUGAUGGCCGAGUGGUUAAGGCGUCUGACUAGAAAUCAGAUGGGAUCUUCCCGCGUAGGUUCGAAUCUACUCACUGCG
RNAcentral lists this transfer RNA (81 nucleotides) under Penaeus monodon (black tiger shrimp). RNAcentral's name for it is "tRNA-Ser". It matches the Rfam family "tRNA". Rfam says of the family: Transfer RNA (tRNA) molecules are approximately 80 nucleotides in length. Their secondary structure includes four short double-helical elements and three loops (D, anti-codon, and T loops). Lineage: Eukaryota; Metazoa; Arthropoda; Malacostraca; Decapoda; Penaeidae. The record is from RNAcentral.